Hydractinia symbiolongicarpus is the source of this 95-nucleotide small nucleolar RNA. RefSeq annotates it as small nucleolar SNORD12/SNORD106. The transcript has a single exon. The record is from RefSeq and is a predicted model, not a curated record. NCBI's taxonomy places the organism in Eukaryota, Metazoa, Cnidaria, Hydrozoa, Anthoathecata, Hydractiniidae.
UUCAUUGGAAAUGAUGAUCAUUCUUUUUUCCCCAUCUUAUCGACAAUGGUGAAAAACAUAGCUGAUAUAUAAGCCAGAUGAUCUGAUCCAAAAAU